GGGGAUGAAGUUUUAAAACAUUUAAAUUGCAAUUAAAAAAAACUAUAAUUUUAUAGUCUUCCUCA
RNAcentral lists this transfer RNA (65 nucleotides) under Dalpada cinctipes. RNAcentral's name for it is "tRNA-Ala". Lineage: Eukaryota; Metazoa; Arthropoda; Insecta; Hemiptera; Pentatomidae. The record is from RNAcentral.